AGUGCUGUCGUCAGCUCGUGUCGUGAGAUUGGUUAGGGUUAACGUCCCGACAACGAGCGCACCCUUGUCAUUAGUUGCCAUCAUUUGGUUGGGCACUCUAAUGAGACUGCCGGUGACAAACCGGAGGAAGGUGGGGAUGACGUCAAGUCCUCAUGGCCCUUAUGGGUAGGGCUUCACACGUCAUACAAUGGUCGGUACAGAGGGUUGCCAACCCGCGAGGGGGAGCUAAUCCCACAAAGCCGAUCGUAGUCCGGAUCGCAGUCUGCAACUCGACUGCGUGAAGUCGGAAUCGCUAGUAAUCGUGGAUCAGCAUGUCACGGUGAAUACGUUCCCGGGUCUU
RNAcentral lists this ribosomal RNA (340 nucleotides) under uncultured Rhodocyclaceae bacterium. Its description in RNAcentral is "bacterial SSU rRNA". It matches the Rfam family "Bacterial small subunit ribosomal RNA", at positions 1045 to 1382 of the family's 1533-position model. Lineage: Bacteria; Pseudomonadati; Pseudomonadota; Betaproteobacteria; Rhodocyclales; Rhodocyclaceae. The record is from RNAcentral.